RNAcentral lists this ribosomal RNA (253 nucleotides) under uncultured bacterium. Its description in RNAcentral is "partial 16S ribosomal RNA". It matches the Rfam family "Bacterial small subunit ribosomal RNA", at positions 524 to 776 of the family's 1533-position model. The record is from RNAcentral.
UACGGAGGGGGCUAGCGUUGUUCGGAAUUACUGGGCGUAAAGCGCACGUAGGCGGCUUUGUAAGUUAGAUGUGAAAGCCCGGGGCUCAACUCCGGAAUUGCCUUUAAGACUGCAUCGCUUGAACACGGGAGAGGUGAGUGGAAUUCCGAGUGUAGAGGUGAAAUUCGUAGAUAUUGGGAAGAACACCUGUGGCGAAAGCGGCUCACUGGACCACAACUGACGCUGAGGCGCGAAAGCUAGGGGAGCAAACAGG